GCUGAGUAUCUUAUAUUAUGUAAUAGGUGUAGGUACCUUUCGGUUUGAACAUUCACUUAGUGACAAUUGAUUACCUCUGUAGAGCCAAGGUGGACUAUGCCUUGAACCUUGGUCCAUGGCUCAGAUUUCAUCAACAGCACACAUAAUAUAGCGUGAACAUGCUCGAAGUGGGUUUGCGCUUUACGGCCAUGCGCAGGUAUCUCUUCAUGUGUGUUAUUAGGGAACAGCCCACUUUCCACAGUCGCGGCCUCACGACUACACGCAUAUAGGUGAAUCCUAAA
This 281-nucleotide long non-coding RNA is filed under the name Phoenix dactylifera (date palm). Its description in RNAcentral is "long non-coding RNA (PDAC_LNC016960)". The record is from RNAcentral. Lineage: Eukaryota; Viridiplantae; Streptophyta; Magnoliopsida; Arecales; Arecaceae.